Molecule: ribosomal RNA, 492 nt
Filed under: uncultured bacterium
Lineage: Bacteria
Description: partial 16S ribosomal RNA
Rfam family: Bacterial small subunit ribosomal RNA
Source: RNAcentral
AGUGAACGCUGGCGGUAGGCCUAACACAUGCAAGUCGAACGGCAGCACAGUAAGAGCUUGCUCUUACUGGUGGCGAGUGGCGGACGGGUGAGGAAUACAUCGGAAUCUACUUUUUCGUGGGGGAUAACGUAGGGAAACUUACGCUACUACCGCAUACGACCUACGGGUGAAAGCAGGGGAUCUUCGGACCUUGCGCGAUUGAAUGAGCCGAUGUCGGAUUAGCUAGUUGGCGGGGUAAAGGCCCACCAAGGCGACGAUCCGUAGCUGGUCUGAGAGGAUGAUCAGCCACACUGGAACUGAGACACGGUCCAGACUCCUACGGGAGGCAGCAGUGGGGAAUAUUGGACAAUGGGCGCAAGCCUGAUCCAGCCAUACCGCGUGGGCGAAGAAGGCCUUCGGGUUGUAAAGCCCUUUUGUUGGGAAAGAAAAGCAGCAGGUUAAUACCCCGCUGUUCUGACGGUACCCAAAGAAUAAGCACCGGCUAACUUCGUG